GAGGGGGGGUAGAAUUCCAGGUGUAAGCAGUGGAAAUGCGUAGAGAUCUGGAAGAAAUACCGGUGGCGAAGGCGGCCCCCUGGACAAAGACUGACGCUCAGGUGCGAAAGCGUGGGGAGCAAAACAGGAUUAGAUACCCAGGUAGUCCACGCCGUAAACGAUGUCGACUUGGGAGGGUUGUGCCCUUGAGGCGUGGCUUCCGGAGCUAACGCGUUAAGUCGACCGCCUGGGGAGUACGGCCGCAAGGUUAAAACUCAAAUGAAUUGACGGGGGCCCGCACAAGCGGUGGAGCAUGUGGUUUAAUUCGAUGCAACGCGAAGAACCUUACCUACUCUUGACAUCCAGAGAACUUAGCAGAGAUGCUUUGGUGCCUUCGGGAACUCUGAGACAGGUGCUGCAUGGCUGUCGUCAGCUCGUGUUGUGAAAUGUUGGGUUAAGUCCCGCAACGAGCGCAACCCUUAUCCUUUGUUGCCAGCGGUUCGGCCGGGAACUCAAAGGAGACUGCCAGUGAUAAACUGGAGGAAGGUGGGGAUGACGUCAAGUCAUCAUGGCCCUUACGAGUAGGGCUACACACGUGCUACAAUGGCAUAUACAAAGAGAAGCGACCUCGCGAGAGCAAGCGGACCUCAUAAAGUAUGUCGUAGUCCGGAUUGGAGUCUGCAACUCGACUCCAUGAAGUCGGAAUCGCUAGUAAUCGUGGAUCAGAAUGCCACGGUGAAUACGUUCCCGGGCCUUGUACACACCGAAACGUCACACCAUGGGAGUGGGUUGCAAAAGAAGUAGGUAGCUUA
This 791-nucleotide ribosomal RNA is filed under the name Citrobacter freundii. RNAcentral describes it as "bacterial SSU rRNA". It matches the Rfam family "Bacterial small subunit ribosomal RNA", at positions 653 to 1437 of the family's 1533-position model. The record is from RNAcentral. Lineage: Bacteria; Pseudomonadati; Pseudomonadota; Gammaproteobacteria; Enterobacterales; Enterobacteriaceae.